GACGAACCGUGCGAACGUUGUUCGGAAUCACUGGGCUUAAAGGGCGCGUAGGCGGGCUGCCAAGUCUGGGGUGAAAUCCCACGGCUCAACCGUGGAACUGCCUCGGAUACUGGCGGCCUCGAGGGAGGUAGGGGCGUGCGGAACUGUAGGUGGAGCGGUGAAAUGCGUUGAUAUCUACAGGAACUCCGGUGGCGAAAGCGGCGUGCUGGACCUCUUCUGACGCUGAGGCGCGAAAGCUAGGGGAGCAAACGGG
Molecule: ribosomal RNA, 253 nt
Filed under: uncultured bacterium
Lineage: Bacteria
Description: partial 16S ribosomal RNA
Rfam family: Bacterial small subunit ribosomal RNA
Source: RNAcentral